Long non-coding RNA from Quercus robur (English oak), 1362 nucleotides. RefSeq lists it as uncharacterized. The transcript is spliced from 4 exons. NCBI's taxonomy places the organism in Eukaryota, Viridiplantae, Streptophyta, Magnoliopsida, Fagales, Fagaceae. The record is from RefSeq and is a predicted model, not a curated record.
UGCACUACCUUGGUUUCUGUGGAGCCAAAACUAAUGGUUGAAACACAAAAUCAUGUGAUGAAGGCAACGCUUGGGUUCUUUGCUUUGCCUAAUGAUUCGGUAGAUGUUGUCAAUCCCCUUGUUGACAACCUUAUCACUCUCUUAUGUGCAAUUCUUCUCACAAGUGGAGAGGAUGGGAGAAGUCGAGCAGAGCAGCUAUUGCAUAUGUUGAGACAAAUUGAUUAGUAUGUUUCUUCACAAGUGGAGUAUCAAAGGAGAAGAGGUUGUCGGGCAGUUUAUGAGAUGCUUCUCAAGUUUAGGACGGUUUGCAUCAGUGGAUAUUGUGCGCUUGGCUGCCGUGGAAGUUGAACGCAUAGCAAGCAAGUUGGCCAUACUGUGCAUGGGAAUUUUGCCAACUUACCAUGUUUUGGCCAGAGAUUGAGAAGGUGGGGCUGACAAUUGGGUUGUGAAAUGCGAAUGUGGCGCUCAAGAUGAUGAUGGGGAGAGGAUGGUGGAAUUGGGGGGCCGACGAGGCUAGGGCCCCAUUUUCCAGCAAUGACCGGUCAAGGUCAAUCAAAGUGGGGAUUCACAGAUGAUUCUCAGCAUAGAAAAGAUCUUAACAAGUCUGAUCACCAUUUAUAGAAGGAUUGAACGGCGAAUUGAUCAUCGACUCAAGCACGUAUUGCCAGCUACUACCAAGUGCAUAUCGCGAAAGGAGACAAGCCAAAGACGACCUGUGUGACAAGCAAGCAUUGAAAGCUCUGCGUAGCGUUCUUAUUCUUAAUGAACAGUAUUACACAACCGGGUGGAGGACUCAUGUAAAACUUCUUCCUUUAGGUCCCCGUUCAGGAGUACGAGAACAAGGACACUGGGUACAAGGAAUAAAACAAUUCAAUCAUUUUCUAUUGUGCUCAUGGUCAAUUUCAUGUGAAAUUGGUGACUUGGCAAUGAAAACUGAUAGGACAGAUGAUUUCUUCUCUUUCCACUACAUCUAUUCAAGCAUCAAUUUUCUUCUUUGGGGCUAUAGAGAGUCAGGGUUUUGCACUUACCAUCACUCCAGCCUAGAAGUGGUUUAUAUGAUGGAGAUGGGAGCUAAAAUUAGAAAUGAAGUUCAUGCUUAUGGUUAAUUUCAUGCGAAAAUGGUGACUUGGCAAUGAAAAAUGAUAGAAAAGAUGACUCCUGUUUCCAUUUCUUUGGGUACAUAAAGAGUCAGGGUUUUGCACUUUUGAUCACUCUAGCCUAGAAGUGAUUUACAUGAUGGAGAUGGAACUGAAAUAAGAAAUGAAGGGUUUGCAGGAAAGAUGCUAUAAAUUCUAAUUUCUUUACAUCUCUGAGAAUAUGUUAUUUAUGAUUUUUGUGCUUCAAUUUACCUUCCAAAUGAAA